CCUUUGUUGCCAGCGAUCCGGCCGGGAACUCAAAGGAGACUGCCAGUGAUAAACUGGAGGAAGGUGGGGAUGACGUCAAGUCAUCAUGGCCCUUACGACCAGGGCUACACACGUGCUACAAUGGCGCAUACAAAGAGAAGCGACCUCGCGAGAGCAAGCGGACCUCAUAAAGUGCGUCGUAGUCCGGAUUGGAGUCUGCAACUCGACUCCAUGAAGUCGGAAUCGCUAGUAAUCGUGGAUCAGAAUGCCACGGUGAAUACGUUCCCGGGCCUU
This 273-nucleotide ribosomal RNA is filed under the name uncultured Enterobacteriaceae bacterium. RNAcentral describes it as "partial 16S ribosomal RNA". It matches the Rfam family "Bacterial small subunit ribosomal RNA", at positions 1109 to 1382 of the family's 1533-position model. The record is from RNAcentral. Lineage: Bacteria; Pseudomonadati; Pseudomonadota; Gammaproteobacteria; Enterobacterales; Enterobacteriaceae.